UACAUACCACUGCACCGAUGCGCUUGCCAUCGUGGCAACAUCGAGUUUCCUUUGUUUAUCUUUAUAGGCCAUCUGCGUGUCCGACAAAGGGAGCCAAACGCGUGCACGUUACUGAGAGCGAGCGUGGCUGCUGCGGUAGACGGUUUGCCUGUUAUCGUCCGCUCAUGCACCUCGCUGGAACGUCAUGCGUGCGGCAGCGCGGCGCAUACUUUUCCACACCGGAGCUGAGCUCAUCGUCUCAUAACGAGCGUAGCAGCAGCGCGUGGCCUACGGGGUCGCCGCCACAGCGGCACACGCACGCGAGUACGCCUGCGGCGACGUACACGCACGCGCCCAGCCGCGAUGUUGCAUUCGGGGGCCGUGCACAUGUUGCCACUCACCGAAGCCGCGACACUCUUACUGCCGAACUUCAGCGCAUUCGCGCGGAGGCGAACACAAUUGUAGUGGAGCGCUGGUUCUGGCGGUGGGGCCUCUACGCGGUUCGCCGCGCUGCCUUGAGGCGCAUCCAGCACCGCGCUCGGCUAGUUUUGUGGAGUCGUGUGGGUGCCAGGUGCUUUGCGUGGUGGCGAUUAGUUGCGCAGCGGCGCCUGUGCCGCGAGGUGCUUUACCGAGAAGCCGCCGCGCGCGAACGCGCGACGUUGAUUGAAGGCCUCUGUCGCGUUGCAUGGGACAAGUGGCGUCAGUGGGCGCGAGUGCGUGCACGGCAGUGCGCGAGAGCUGCGCAUCUGGGGCUGGUGAACCGACAGCGGCACGCACUUCUCCGAUUUCGCGCAUGGACGUGUCAUCCCCGUCGGUGCCGUCAGCUGCGGUCUGUGGAGCAGAUUCGAUUCUCCGCCGAGCGAUCGCUGGCCCGCUUUACUCUGAUCCGUUGGCGUUUGCAUGCCCUAGAGAGCUACCUUGCCUUUCCACUGCAGGUGCGGGCGGCGCAGCAAGUGGCGACGGCGGCGUUUCGCGCGUGGCAGCGGCGUGCGCUCAUCGGGGCCAGCAUGCGGCUCAUCCGCCACGAGGCGCUUUUGCACGUGGCGGAGCGGUGCUUUGACCGGUGGAGGCGAUGGCUCCGGCGGCGGUUACAGGCCGCACUGCUACGCGAAGCGAACGAGGCUCGCCUUUUGCUGCGCAUCUUCUCGCAGUGGGCGUGGCACCAUGAGCUCCACGCGUUAGACUACGAGCAGUACGUCGCAGAACGUCAUCUGCCACGCCUCUUCUCUUGAUCGUCUUGAGCUGUUGUUGGCACUUGUAAUGAGAGGGAGCAGGAGCCGAUUCCUGGAGGGCCGCUCGGUGACUAGGGGCCGUGACGGCGUGCCGAUAAGACGUGCACACCCACAGAAGCUCAAACGCGAAGGUGCGCACUGAUAACUCCCUUCAGCGCUACAUGGCGAAAAAAAAAACGAAAGGGAAAAGACGAAAACCGACAGAAGACGCUUAACAACGAAACGCGGUGUGACCAACAUGUGAUGAGGCGCGGGUGAGGAGGGGUGCCUCCCUUUUUCGCCCGAUCUGAGGGAAGGAGAGGGAGCGCUGCACGAUACUCCACUCGCCCAGGCGCCCACCUCGUCUUCCCCUCCCCCCUCCUUGCCCCCAUCAUUUCCAUUGCUUUCCCCUCUCAUAAUAAUACGGUGAAAAAAAAACGUCUCCACACCUAUGCGUGCGCAUGCCCACACACGUGACCUCACAUCGAGCAAAAG
RNAcentral lists this unclassified non-coding RNA (1685 nucleotides) under Leishmania donovani. RNAcentral's name for it is "gene:LdHU3.34.5760(CDS-product:hypothetical_prote in_conserved)". Lineage: Eukaryota; Euglenozoa; Kinetoplastea; Trypanosomatida; Trypanosomatidae. The record is from RNAcentral.